This is a long non-coding RNA of Panonychus citri (citrus red mite), 2419 nucleotides long. RefSeq lists it as uncharacterized. The transcript has 3 exons. NCBI's taxonomy places the organism in Eukaryota, Metazoa, Arthropoda, Arachnida, Trombidiformes, Tetranychidae. The record is from RefSeq and is a predicted model, not a curated record.
UAGAGAAUCAUCUUAAUCACAUAGAGAGUUAAUUGUUCUCUAAGUAAAAACUAAAUGGUUCAUCAACUUUUCUUCAAAUGUGACGAUUCCAACUUCUCCUCGAAAAAUAGCCCAAUAACUUUCAUCGAAUUUACAUGAAAUUGAACUUUUAGAACUUUUUUUUUCGAUAACGGUUUAAGUUGUAAAGUCUUUUGUUAUCCCGUUUUAGAUUUGUGACCAUCUAAUGGUAUUAGGAAAAAGUGGCAGUGGGUCAACUGAAUACAGAAUGAAGAUUAUCUCAAUCAUGAUGGAUUAAUUGUUUCCAAUUGAAAUCCUCAUAAUCUACUAAUCCUCUUGGCUUUUCCUUUCCUAUUGGACUGAAAAUAAUUAUCUCUUCAGAUUUAUAAGUGGAUCUUUCUGUGUAUAGAUAUUGGAUGGAGAGAUUUGUUCAACAUAUUAUAUGAAACAUUUUCGCUGUUUUUUUGUUUACCUUCAAUAGGGAAACACAAAGGAAAAAGGUAAAGGUAAUUUGAUAGAGAUUUUCAAAUCGGAUUAAAUUGUCAAAGGUUUUAGUGAGUAUUUCGUUUUUUAAGUAUCAAGUAGAGUGUCAAGUUGUGUACCUUGUGACCUAUGCUUUUUACUUCGAGUGUUGGGUCAAAGUUUUCUAACGAAUCUUGUUAAUCUGUUUCGUUUUACAGCCGAUGAAAUCAAUGACCAUCAAAGGAAGGAAAUUUGUUAAAGGGUUAAUCUAUUUGCCCGGAGGUGAAAACAAUUGAAUUUUCUUUAACAGUCUCCACCUUUAAUCACCUUCUACAAUAUGAUCACUAAUCAAUCUACUGAAGUGGACACAAUUAUCAGGAUCACUCGAGAAACUGAUGAAUACAAUUAUCAUUACUUUCGGAGGUUUUUUUUUUCUUCUUAAAUGUUGAUAAAAAAGAGUCAACGAAACAAACAAGAGGUGGGAAUACAUUUAACUGAAUAUUUAUUGUUUAUGCUUCUGAAUUGAACAAAAUUGAAUCACCCUUAAGGCUAAUCUAGUUAGUCUCUUUUCCUCUGUAUUCAGGUUACUUUAAUUACCCUUCAACUCAAUUUUCUUUCAAUGUUUACAGUCGUUUUACCCCCGUAAAAAUGUCAACACACUUUGACAACUCUAACAUCACCAAGGAGUAAAGUCACUCAUCAUUGUGAAUCAAUAUUAAACUCCAAUCAUCAUCAUUAUCAUCAUCAAUAGGAUUAAAGUUGAGAUGAUAAUAAUCAUCUUCACGAGAGAGAUGAGAAACCAAAAUAAGGAUAUACCUUUGUAGCUGUGAUUCCCAUGGUAAUAAAACAUGAGACUACCCGCUGGUUAAAAGUAACCUUAAUUGACCUGCAAUCGCCGAAAAUGGGCUAAAUUUCAUCACAAAUCAAGGUAACAUUAAUUUUGACGUUGAUCAUAAACUUUUACCUCUUAACCUUAAUAUUGCUCUUCUUUAUUUCUGUCUUCAUGUUUUUCUUAUCCCUGGAAAAAUCAACUAAUAUGAGUUCUGAUUGGGAAAAAGGAAUCAUCUUGGUGACAUUAUUAUGACAAUUUAAACGUGAAAAUAAUCAUCUAGAUCAAUAGAGACCUUUUCAUGUAUCAACAAGGCGUUUACUUUUGGACGAAACAAUAAAGGACAGAUAAUUUAAAAGAUUAUAAUGAAUAUAUUCAGUGUUUGGAUCGUGAUGAUUACAUUAAAACAACAGGGAGUGCCCAUUCUCAUCAUCACUAUCAUCAUAAUCUGAAAAUGAUGAAUCUAUUGGUGGGAAAUUAAGAUGAUGAUGAUGAUGGUUUUUUUGUUUCUUCUUCUCCCUGUUGUUGUUGACUUGGAACAUGAAGCAAGGAAAAAGCCAUGGAAUCUUUUUUUCUGAGUCCACUAGAAGUUACCACGAAUCAUCAAGAGAGAGAGAGAGAGAGAGAGAGAGAGAGAGAGAUGAAGACGAUUUUGAUGAUGAAGAUAUAAUGAAGAGUAAAAGUUGGACCAACACAAAUGAACCUUUGGAGGUCAACACAAUUUGAGGAACCUCAUCGAAUUAGAAGCCAAUAUACCGCGUUGAAGAUUGAUGCCUUUUUUGGCUUUUCUUUUCUUUCUCAUCAUAAUCGUCAUUAUCAUCAACUUUAUCAUCAUCUUCUUCUCUACUUUAUACCCUCAAUUUAACCUUAGGGUAAAAUUAGAAGACACCAAGUAUCCAUUAGAGACUUUACUCUGUGAAACCUAUUCUAUGGUAAUCAUCAUCAUCUUCAUCAUCAUCUUCAUCUCCAUCGUUAAGAUCAUCCAAAUAACCAACAAACAACUUGUACAAGAUAUUUAAUUACACAAUUAAUUACCAAUCUUAUCCCUUGAUGUUGAUCAUUGUUGUAUAAUCCAACACAUGACGAAUGAUCAAUAAUUUAAUUAGUUUGAUCCAAUUUAGAGAAAGUAAA